This 1332-nucleotide ribosomal RNA is filed under the name uncultured bacterium. RNAcentral describes it as "bacterial SSU rRNA". It matches the Rfam family "Bacterial small subunit ribosomal RNA", at positions 28 to 1381 of the family's 1533-position model. The record is from RNAcentral.
GACGAACGCUGGCGGCGCGCCUAACACAUGCAAGUCGAACGAGCGAGAGAGAGCUUGCUUUCUUGAGCGAGUGGCGAACGGGUGAGUAACGCGUGAGGAACCUGCCUCAAAGAGGGGGACAACAGUUGGAAACGACUGCUAAUACCGCAUAAGCCCACAGCUCGGCAUCGAGCAGAGGGAAAAGGAGCAAUCCGCUUUGAGAUGGCCUCGCGUCCGAUUAGCUAGUUGGUGAGGUAAUGGCCCACCAAGGCGACGAUCGGUAGCCGGACUGAGAGGUUGAACGGCCACAUUGGGACUGAGACACGGCCCAGACUCCUACGGGAGGCAGCAGUGGGGAAUAUUGCACAAUGGGGGAAACCCUGAUGCAGCGACGCCGCGUGGAGGAAGAAGGUCUUCGGAUUGUAAACUCCUGUUGUUGAGGAAGAUAAUGACGGUACUCAACAAGGAAGUGACGGCUAACUACGUGCCAGCAGCCGCGGUAAAACGUAGGUCACAAGCGUUGUCCGGAAUUACUGGGUGUAAAGGGAGCGCAGGCGGGAAGGCAAGUUGGAAGUGAAAUCCAUGGGCUCAACCCAUGAACUGCUUUCAAAACUGUUUUUCUUGAGUAGUGCAGAGGUAGGCGGAAUUCCCGGUGUAGCGGUGGAAUGCGUAGAUAUCGGGAGGAACACCAGUGGCGAAGGCGGCCUACUGGGCACCAACUGACGCUGAGGCUCGAAAGUGUGGGUAGCAAACAGGAUUAGAUACCCUGGUAGUCCACACUGUAAACGAUGAUUACUAGGUGUUGGAGGAUUGACCCCUUCAGUGCCGCAGUUAACACAAUAAGUAAUCCACCUGGGGAGUACGACCGCAAGGUUGAAACUCAAAGGAAUUGACGGGGGCCCGCACAAGCAGUGGAGUAUGUGGUUUAAUUCGACGCAACGCGAAGAACCUUACCAAGUCUUGACAUCCUGCGACGGUGCUGGAAACAGUACUUUCCUUCGGGACGCAGAGACAGGUGGUGCAUGGUUGUCGUCAGCUCGUGUCGUGAGAUGUUGGGUUAAGUCCCGCAACGAGCGCAACCCUUAUGGUCAGUUACUACGCAAGAGGACUUUGGCCAGACUGCCGUUGACAAAACGGAGGAAGGUGGGGAUGACGUCAAAUCAUCAUGCCCUUUAUGACUUGGGCUACACACGUACUACAAUGGCGUUAAACAAAGAGAAGCAAGACCGCGAGGUGGAGCAAAACUCAGAAACAACGUCCCAGUUCGGACUGCAGGCUGCAACUCGCCUGCACGAAGUCGGAAUUGCUAGUAAUCGCAGAUCAGCAUGCUGCGGUGAAUACGUUCCCGGGCCU